This 642-nucleotide ribosomal RNA is filed under the name uncultured bacterium. RNAcentral describes it as "bacterial SSU rRNA". The stretch from base 1 to 545 matches the Rfam family "Bacterial small subunit ribosomal RNA", at positions 338 to 873 of the family's 1533-position model. The record is from RNAcentral.
CCUACGGGAGGCAGCAGUGGGGAAUAUUGGACAAUGGGCGCAAGCCUGAUCCAGCCAUACCGCGUGUGUGAAGAAGGCCUUUUGGUUGUAAAGCACUUUAAGCGAGGAGGAGGCUCUUGAGGUUAAUACCCUUGAUGAGUGGACGUUACUCGCAGAAUAAGCACCGGCUAACUCUGUGCCAGCAGCCGCGGUAAUACAGAGGGUGCGAGCGUUAAUCGGAAUUACUGGGCGUAAAGCGCGCGUAGGCGGCUUGUUAAGUCGGAUGUGAAAUCCCCGGGCUCAACCUGGGCACUGCAUUCGAUACUGGCAAGCUAGAGUAUGGGAGAGGAAGGUAGAAUUCCAGGUGUAGCGGUGAAAUGCGUAGAGAUCUGGAGGAAUACCGAUGGCGAAGGCAGCCUUCUGGCCUAAUACUGACGCUGAGGUGCGAAAGCAUGGGGAGCAAACAGGAUUAGAUACCCUGGUAGUCCAUGCCGUAAACGAUGUCAACUAGCCGUUGGGGACCUUGAGUCUUUAGUGGCGCAGCUACGCGAGUAAGUUAGACCGCCGUCGGGAGGUACGGUCGCGAAGAACGUAAACGUACGAAGUAGUAAGUUAGACGGCGUUGGAGGACGUUGGCCGACGGACGACGACGAGGGGAGGAGG